UACAGAGGUCUCAAGCGUUGUUCGGAUUCAUUGGGCGUAAAGGGUGCGUAGGCGGCGCGGUAAGUCGGGUGUGAAAUUUCGAGGCUUAACUUCGAAACUGCAUUCGAUACUGCCGUGCUAGAGGACUGGAGAGGAGACUGGAAUUUACGGUGUAGCGGUGAAAUGCGUAGAUAUCGUAAGGAAGACCAGUGGCGAAGGCGGGUCUCUGGACAGUUCCUGACGCUGAGGCACGAAGGCCAGGGGAGCAAACGGG
RNAcentral lists this ribosomal RNA (253 nucleotides) under uncultured bacterium. Its description in RNAcentral is "partial 16S ribosomal RNA". It matches the Rfam family "Bacterial small subunit ribosomal RNA", at positions 524 to 776 of the family's 1533-position model. The record is from RNAcentral.